This 313-nucleotide ribosomal RNA is filed under the name Pharaxonotha sp. D0095. RNAcentral's name for it is "partial 16S large subunit ribosomal RNA". The stretch from base 178 to 313 matches the Rfam family "Bacterial large subunit ribosomal RNA", at positions 2473 to 2608 of the family's 2925-position model. The record is from RNAcentral. Lineage: Eukaryota; Metazoa; Arthropoda; Insecta; Coleoptera; Erotylidae.
GACCCUAUAGAGUUUAAUAUUUUAUUAAUAAAUUAUUUUUUAGAAUUUAAUAUUAAUUUAUUGAUUAAUUAUUUGAUUGGGGUGAUUGAAAAAUUUAAGUAACUUUUUUUAUAUAAAAACAUUAAUUUAUGAUUGUUUGAUCCAUUUUUUAUGAUUAUAAGAUUAAAUUACCUUAGGGAUAACAGCGUAAUUUUUUUUAAGAGUUCAAAUCGAAAAAAAAGAUUGCGACCUCGAUGUUGGAUUAAAAUUUAUUUUUGGUGUAGAAGCUAAAUUUAUUGGGUCUGUUCGACCUUUAAAAUUUUACAUGAUCUGA